This 471-nucleotide ribosomal RNA is filed under the name Streptococcus mitis. RNAcentral's name for it is "bacterial SSU rRNA". It matches the Rfam family "Bacterial small subunit ribosomal RNA", at positions 32 to 489 of the family's 1533-position model. The record is from RNAcentral. Lineage: Bacteria; Bacillati; Bacillota; Bacilli; Lactobacillales; Streptococcaceae.
AACGCUGGCGGCGUGCCUAAUACAUGCAAGUAGAACGCUGAAGGAGGAGCUUGCUUCUCUGGAUGAGUUGCGAACGGGUGAGUAACGCGUAGGUAACCUGCCUGGUAGCGGGGGAUAACUAUUGGAAACGAUAGCUAAUACCGCAUAAUAGCAGUUAUUGCAUGAUAACUGUUUGAAAGGUGCAAAUGCAUCACUACCAGAUGGACCUGCGUUGUAUUAGCUAGUUGGUGGGGUAACGGCUCACCAAGGCGACGAUACAUAGCCGACCUGAGAGGGUGAUCGGCCACACUGGGACUGAGACACGGCCCAGACUCCUACGGGAGGCAGCAGUAGGGAAUCUUCGGCAAUGGACGGAAGUCUGACCGAGCAACGCCGCGUGAGUGAAGAAGGUUUUCGGAUCGUAAAGCUCUGUUGUAAGAGAAGAACGAGUGUGAGAGUGGAAAGUUCACACUGUGACGUAUCUACCAGAAA